AUCCACGAUUUUUUCCGUGACUAAUUCAAGCAGCAAUAUUUUUCGGAGUGCGUGUGGCCUCCACGCGUGGCCUUAUAUAACUGACAUUUUCACCAGCGUUUUAGGCCAAAAUCGCAAUAAAGCCUUUGGUUACAGGGAGUAAAUAAAGAAAGAAAACAUUCACAGCUGUAGCACAAGGAUGCCGAUUCCUCUUGCAGGGAAAUACGUACAUUUUGGAAUUCUCUGAGUGUUACAAAUGAACCAAAAGAAAGGUAAUAUUUUAAGUGACAUCACUGUAGUAUUUAACUUAUAAUUUAGGGCCUGAUCUUACAGGUUGUGGAACUCACAUUGGGAACAAGCUCAGAUAUCGAGGAGAACAGUUAUUAUUAAUUUGUAGUGUGACAUUUUGAAGAAUCCAUUGGAAGAACCUCACCUAUCCUAGAUCACAAUUCCCACAGUCCCUGAGCUGGUGGAUGCUGUCACAUAUUUUUUGGGGCAGGCACUGGAGUUGUGGGACUGUGGUGCUUAAAGGGCAGCCCCUCUGCCAAAAUAAUGAGCACCUGCAAUAAACCUGUGCUGUAUCCUUCAAAAUGUGGCUGUUGGCUUAGAUCUUUAAAUAAAAUAUUUGUAUAACCUUGUGGGUU
Molecule: long non-coding RNA, 623 nt
Organism: Pipra filicauda (Wire-tailed manakin)
Lineage: Eukaryota; Metazoa; Chordata; Aves; Passeriformes; Pipridae
Exons: 2
Source: RefSeq, a predicted model, not a curated record